RNAcentral lists this ribosomal RNA (447 nucleotides) under uncultured bacterium. RNAcentral describes it as "bacterial SSU rRNA". It matches the Rfam family "Bacterial small subunit ribosomal RNA", at positions 330 to 794 of the family's 1533-position model. The record is from RNAcentral.
UCCAGACUCCUACGGGAGGCAGCAGUGGGGAAUAUUGCACAAUGGGGGGAACCCUGAUGCAGCGACGCCGCGUGGGUGAAGGAGUAUUUCGGUAUGUAAAGCCCUAUCAGCAGGGAAGAACAAUGACGGUACCUGACUAAGAAGCAUCGGCUAACUCCGUGCCAGCAGCCGCGGUAAUACGGAGGAUGCGAGCGUUAUCCGGAUUUAUUGGGUUUAAAGGGUGCGCAGGCGGAGGUGCAAGUCAGUGGUCAAAUUGCGGGGCUCAACCCCGGACUGCCGUUGAAACUGCAUCCCUUGAGUGCGCGAGAAGUAUGCGGAAUGCGUGGUGUAGCGGUGAAAUGCAUAGAUAUCACGCAGAACUCCGAUUGCGAAGGCAGCAUACCGGCGCGCAACUGACGCUCAUGCACGAAAGCGUGGGUAUCGAACAGGAUUAGAUACCCCCGUACA